AACGCUGGCGGCANGCCUAACACAUGCAAGUCGAACGGUAACAUUUCUAGCUUGCUAGAAGAUGACGAGUGGCGGACGGGUGAGUAAUACUUAGGAAUAUGCCUUUGUGUGGGGGAUAACUAUUGGAAACGAUAGCUAAUACCGCAUAACGUCUUCGGACCAAAGGGGGCUUCGGCUCCCGCGCAAAGAGUAGCCUAAGCGAGAUUAGCUUGUUGGUGAGGUAAAGGCUCACCAAGGCGACGAUCUCUAGCUGUUCUGAGAGGAAGAUCAGCCACACUGGAACUGAGACACGGUCCAGACUCCUACGGGAGGCAGCAGUG
This 320-nucleotide ribosomal RNA is filed under the name Glaciecola sp. FRA000016. Its description in RNAcentral is "bacterial SSU rRNA". It matches the Rfam family "Bacterial small subunit ribosomal RNA", at positions 32 to 356 of the family's 1533-position model. Lineage: Bacteria; Pseudomonadati; Pseudomonadota; Gammaproteobacteria; Alteromonadales; Alteromonadaceae. The record is from RNAcentral.